ACAUUGGUGGUUCAGUGGUAAAAUUCUUGCCUUCCAUGUAGGAGACCUAGGUUCAAUUCCCAGCCAAUGUA
This 71-nucleotide transfer RNA is filed under the name Loxodonta africana (African savanna elephant). It matches the Rfam family "tRNA". From Rfam's summary of the family: Transfer RNA (tRNA) molecules are approximately 80 nucleotides in length. Lineage: Eukaryota; Metazoa; Chordata; Mammalia; Proboscidea; Elephantidae. The record is from Rfam by way of RNAcentral.